GUAUUAUACAUUUAGAAAUUAAAAACUUUUUAACGGAUUUUGAACGCGAUUUAUUCAUUAUUUUAUUAACCCGUCCUUUCGAACACUUUACAGCCAGCGUGGUCACGGAAAGACUGUAUAUAAUAAAUCUAUAUAAAAUUCGAAUUAACUUUACUUACCGAAUGUAGUUGCAUAGAUGGUAGAUGGUAUAAAUAUAAAGUAUCUUAAAUAUUUUUCUCAUUCAUAGCGCAGAGUACAGAGAGGACAUUGAACCUAUACCUGUGGGCUACAAGUGAGUACAGUCACAUGGUCCCCGCCAUCGGUGAGCCGCACAUACUGACCGGAGAAGGAUUUGAAGAUCUGUUGUAACUACACUCAUAUUAUAAAACGUAAAGCAUAUCAACCCUAAAAGUGUGAAAUUAUACGUUAAAUUGGCAGUGUAAGGUUACGAUUACAUUUUAAAGGAUUUAUGAUUAAUUUUAAUGGGGCCUUUUAGGAGGACCGACAUUAUCCUUGUGUAUGAAGGUUCACAAUACUAAUACAUAUUAUUUAUUUCAAAUCUGGAACAUUUAACAAAAUAUGAUAUCCUUUUUCCUUUUAUGGCCUUAUCUUUUUAUUUUUAUGGCCGGAUUUACCACUUGCUCAUAAUGUCCUAAUAAAAUUUUGACGUUUAUGUCCAUAGAUAAUUUCUCAUUUUAACUCCCAACUACAGUCUUAACAGAACAUAAUUAUAACUAUUCUUUUAUAAGGUUAUUCAUAUUAACUUUCCAAACUGCGAAGUGUCAUUCUUUAAUAGCAUCACAAAAAAAAAGUUAUGUACCUAUUGUCAAUCUCCAACGUUUUUGGCGGUAAAAAAUCGAGAACUAAUUAAUUAGUGAAAAUUUAUUUAGUAAAGUAAUAAUUUAUAAGUUGGUUCAUAAUUUAACCACUCUUGUCAAGCUGGUAUCACAUUUGAAGUGGAUUUUUAUUUAUGCAGUUAAAUUAGUAUUAUUUUCCUUGUCUGGCCAAAACUAUGUUCCGCGGGCAGGCAUCAUCAUGAUAUAGUCAGGGUUUGUAACUUAUUCAGUAUUUGAUAAUAUAUUUCUGAACUUUACUCAAAAGUGUAUAAGCAAUUUAUAAUAAUCGCUUAUUAUUUUAUUAUAUUAUAAGACAUCGGUUUGUUAAGUUACAUUCAUUUUGAGUUUUGACUCUGAAUUUCUUUGUGCACUAUCUCACCGAUUGUAUUACAAAUUACUGUUACUAUUCUAUAGCUUUACUAAGAAUGUGGUAGGUGUGUAAAUAUUGUAUAAUUGUAUAGUUCUGUACUACUACUCUUAUUGGUAAAUUUGCUGUGAUGAUUUAUUUAUUACAUGUCUUACUUAAUAAGUGUAAUAAUAUUUUUUUUAACUUACAUUUAAUUUGUUAUACCUGUAAAAUUAAUUUAUUGUUCAUUCAAAAUAAGCGCAUUUAUUAUAGUGCAGCCAUCAUGUCAUGAAACAAAUAUCGUCUUCCAUUUGUAAAACUGAUCAUUUCCAUACUUUUGUAGUACAAAAUCAGUGUGUCUUAAUAAAUUAUUGCAAAUUUAAUA
Molecule: long non-coding RNA, 1546 nt
Organism: Zerene cesonia (dogface butterfly)
Lineage: Eukaryota; Metazoa; Arthropoda; Insecta; Lepidoptera; Pieridae
Exons: 2
Source: RefSeq, a predicted model, not a curated record